UACGAAGGGGGCGUAGCGUUGUUCGGAUUUACUGGGCGUAAAGCGCACGUAGGCGGAUCGUUAAGUCGGGGGUGAAAUCCUGGAGCUCAACUCCAGAACUGCCUUCGAUACUGGCGAUCUUGAGUCCGGAAGAGGUGAGUGGAACUCCUAGUGUAGAGGUGGAAUUCGUAGAUAUUAGGAAGAACACCAGUGGCGAAGGCGGCUCACUGGUCCGGUACUGACGCUGAGGUGCGAAAGCGUGGGGAGCAAACAGG
RNAcentral lists this ribosomal RNA (254 nucleotides) under uncultured bacterium. RNAcentral describes it as "partial 16S ribosomal RNA". It matches the Rfam family "Bacterial small subunit ribosomal RNA", at positions 524 to 776 of the family's 1533-position model. The record is from RNAcentral.